This 301-nucleotide ribosomal RNA is filed under the name uncultured bacterium. RNAcentral's name for it is "partial 16S ribosomal RNA". It matches the Rfam family "Bacterial small subunit ribosomal RNA", at positions 509 to 807 of the family's 1533-position model. The record is from RNAcentral.
CAGCCGCCACGGUAACACGUAGGGUGCGAGCGUUAAUCGGAAUUACUGGGCGUAGAGCGUGCGCAGGCGGUUCGUUAAGACAGAUGUGAAAUCCCCGGGCUUAACCUGGGAACUGCAUUUGUGACUGGCGAGCUAGAGUAUGGCAGAGGGGGGUAGAAUUCCACGUGUAGCAGUGAAAUGCGUAGAGAUGUGGAGGAAUACCGAUGGCGAAGGCAGCCCCCUGGGCCAAUACUGACGCUCAUGCACGAAAGCGUGGGGAGCAAACAGGAUUAGAGACCCCUGUAGUCCCUGUCUCUUAUAC